CAAGACCUUGGCGGUUCCAAAGCAAGCAUAGAUGGUGUAAUGGUCUUUCUGCUUUAUAUGACCUUCUGAAGAUUGAAGAUGUUGACUGUGGACUUUGAAGGAAGUCAUGUGAAAACUCAUCUUACAAUGCUUAAAAUGUUGAGUUGAAGGAUCUUCAUGAUGAAAUUUCCAUAAACGGUAAGACUUCUAGGUAAUAUUCUCCCUCCCAUCCUCAGGGAGCUCCACUGGUUCCAGACCUGGUCUUAGACCCAAAGUGUAUGAUUCAUGUAAGCAGAGAAGACCUCCGAGUCUCAGGUAUUUGUGAUAUGAGACAACGCUGAACGGCUUUGCAGGCAAAUAAUAAGAUGGUUCUCCUGAUGUCUGUUAUCUCCCUGUGCUGGACCGGCUCUAACAACAAUAAAACCAUCUC
Molecule: long non-coding RNA, 409 nt
Organism: Octodon degus (degu)
Lineage: Eukaryota; Metazoa; Chordata; Mammalia; Rodentia; Octodontidae
Exons: 3
Source: RefSeq, a predicted model, not a curated record